Molecule: long non-coding RNA, 649 nt
Organism: Hippocampus comes (tiger tail seahorse)
Lineage: Eukaryota; Metazoa; Chordata; Actinopteri; Syngnathiformes; Syngnathidae
Exons: 2
Source: RefSeq, a predicted model, not a curated record
AAUACCGGCAGUCUCCUCACCAUCCUCGUGGGGGCAGUCAUUCCCCCCAGUAUUCACAAGAAGAAGGCAAAACAAGACGCGUUUCCGGGUUGGCUCGCGCUGCUCGGCUGGCGGAGCGGCUAGCUUGCUAGCUGGCUGGCUAGCUCCAGAGAAAUAGCCGUUUAACGAGUCUAACAGGAGCUUGGCAAAGUUAAAUCGCGUUUGUCUUGAUCGGAGGUCAAAUGCGGAAUAAGCUUGGAAAGUCGUGAAGGAGUGACACAUCGCCGGUUAGCACUGCUAACCGGCGGCGACUGAGCGAUCCGCCCCCGACACGAACAAGUUCCGUUAGCAUGGCGACAGUUGCUAAGGUGUGACGACAUGACGUGAUUGCCCCACGUUGAUUUGCCCGCUCCACACUUUCGCGGCUCAUGAGUGCGCCUCCGUCCGAUGGAGGUGGCGCGUUGCCCUGCUCGGCCGACGAGAUGACGCGACGCUUGAGCCGGCGGCUGCUUGUGCCCUUGUAUGCAGGAGGCCCGACAUGGACGCCCGCCCCGAGUGCGACAUCGCGGCUGCUGAAAAGGGGCCGAGUCGUAAGCCCGAUGGACGCCGCGGUGCAGGACUCGUGAGCGCUUUUCACAAGAUCUUCAGCGACCGCAACACUCUCAACAUU